Molecule: ribosomal RNA, 567 nt
Filed under: uncultured bacterium
Lineage: Bacteria
Description: bacterial SSU rRNA
Rfam family: Bacterial small subunit ribosomal RNA
Source: RNAcentral
CCUACGGGAGGCAGCAGUGGGGAAUAUUGCACAAUGGGCGAAAGCCUGAUGCAGCGACGCCGCGUGAGGGAUGACGGCCUUCGGGUUGUAAACCUCUUUCAGCAGGGAAGAAGCGAGAGUGACGGUACCUGCAGAAGAAGCGCCGGCUAACUACGUGCCAGCAGCCGCGGUAAUACGUAGGGCGCAAGCGUUGUCCGGAAUUAUUGGGCGUAAAGAGCUCGUAGGCGGCUUGUUGCGUCGGUUGUGAAAGCCCGGGGCUUAACCCCGGGUCUGCAGUCGAUACGGGCAGGCUAGAGUGUGGUAGGGGAGAUCGGAAUUCCUGGUGUAGCGGUGAAAUGCGCAGAUAUCAGGAGGAACACCGGUGGCGAAGGCGGAUCUCUGGGCCAUUACUGACGCUGAGGAGCGAAAGCGUGGGGAGCGAACAGGAUUAGAUACCCUGGUAGUCCACGCCGUAAACGUUGGGAACUAGGUGUUGGCGACAUUCCACGUCGUCGGUGCCGCAGCUAACGCAUUAAGUUCCCCGCCUGGGGAGUACGGCCGCAAGGCUAAACUCAAAUGAAUUGACGG